GUUCUUUUCCAACAAACUAAAAAUGGCUUGCGCACAAAAUUUAAAAGCUUUAAUCGUAUUUUGAGUUAAUGGAUGUAAAAUUUGUUCGGUUUUUAAUACAAAAUUUCAGACAAUUUGCUUUAGUUUAAGGCCUUUAACUAUUCAUUUUUUCCUAAAAUAUCAACGUUUUGCAUGCUUAAUUAAUGCCUUUACCUAAUUUGCAUAUUGCUGACAUAUUGCUGACAUAUUGCUGACAUCAUUGCUGAUUUUUUAGGAAAAAUGUAAAUUUGCGUCAAUAAUUGAAGGGCUUAAACUGAAGCAAAUUGUCUGAAAUUUCGUGCAGUAAUUAAACACCCAACACAUUUUUCAUCCAUAACUCAAAAUACGACUAUAGCUUUUAAAUCUCGUGCGCAAGCCAUUUUUAGUUUGUCGGAAAAGACGCACCCCCCUGGUUUACAAAAUUUGUGUUCGAGAAAUUUUUUUCAUUCUACAUUAUAAGUACCCAAAGAAGCCAUAUAUAUAAAAAAACUGGAUACUAAUAGCUGUUUUGCGAAAUUGAGAGCAAUUUCAAAUCUGUUCAGUUUUUUUAUACACCCUGUAUUACAUCAAUCAAAUUAAAUUGAA
Paramuricea clavata is the source of this 603-nucleotide non-coding RNA. The record is from the annotation of a GenBank genome assembly. NCBI's taxonomy places the organism in Eukaryota, Metazoa, Cnidaria, Anthozoa, Malacalcyonacea, Plexauridae.